CCUACGGGGGGCAGCAGUAGGGAAUCUUCCUCAAUGGGCGAAAGCCUGAUCCAGCAACGCCGCGUGGAUGAAGAAGGUCUUCGGAUCGUAAAACCCUGUUGUUAGAGAAGAAAGUUCGUGAGAGUAUCCGUUCACGUUUCGACGGUAUCUAACCAGAACGCCACGGCUAACUACGUCCCAGCAGCUGCGGUAAUACGUAGGUGGCUAGCGUUAUCCGGUUUUAUUGGGAGUAAAGGUAACGGAGGCGGUCUGUUAAGUCAGAUGUGAAAGCCUUCGGCUUAACCGGAGUAGUGCAUUUGAUACUGGGAGACUUGAGUGCAGAAGAGGAGAGUGGAACUCGAGGUGUAGCGGUGAAAUGCGUAGAUAUAUCGAAGAACACCAAUGGCGAAGGCAGCUCUCUGGUCUGUCACUGACGCUGAGGUUCGAAAGCGUGGGUAGCAAACAGGAUUAGAUACCCUAGUAGUC
RNAcentral lists this ribosomal RNA (465 nucleotides) under uncultured bacterium. RNAcentral describes it as "partial 16S ribosomal RNA". It matches the Rfam family "Bacterial small subunit ribosomal RNA", at positions 338 to 795 of the family's 1533-position model. The record is from RNAcentral.